This 94-nucleotide transfer RNA is filed under the name Carboxydothermus ferrireducens DSM 11255. Its description in RNAcentral is "tRNA-Cys". Lineage: Bacteria; Bacillati; Bacillota; Clostridia; Thermoanaerobacterales; Thermoanaerobacteraceae. The record is from RNAcentral.
GGGAGGAAAGGGUCUGGUGGCCCCCGUGGACUGCAAAUCCACUGGCCCGAAGUAAACCUUCGGGAGUGAGGUGUGAACCCACUUCCUCCCUCCA